Tripterygium wilfordii is the source of this 412-nucleotide long non-coding RNA. RefSeq lists it as uncharacterized. The record is from RefSeq and is a predicted model, not a curated record. NCBI's taxonomy places the organism in Eukaryota, Viridiplantae, Streptophyta, Magnoliopsida, Celastrales, Celastraceae. The transcript is spliced from 2 exons.
AUUGGAACCUAUUGCCAAAAUCUCUGGCUGCAUGGUCAACAUCGUCAAAAUUGAAAUGCCCAUCGAGGGAAAGCAAUCUUAAUGAAGAAGGGAUAUUGGUGCUGGAAAAGCAAAGGUUGAUUCUGACAGUUAUGCAGAGGCAAAGGCUCUGGAUGGCUAUAAGUUGGGACCCCCUUGGGGUCCAUUUUUGAAGGGCUAAGGAAGUGAAAAUGGGGAGUUGACAGCAUGGAGGAAGCACUGAAAGACUGCUCUGUUGCUUUCAGUUUAUUGUUUCUGAUGCCUUAGUUCCCAGCAGGCAGCAUCUAGACAAGCCUGAAUGAUUAAUUCUUCUUUGAUAACUAUAUAUGUGCAAAUUGGAACAAAUUGGAAUACGGGUUAUCUUUCGAUGAUAAAAUGUGAUAUUACCCUUGUU